GCGCCCGUAGCUCAGAUGGAUAGAGCGUCUGCCUCCGGAGCAGAAGGCCGCAGGUUCGAAUCCUGCCGGGCGUACAA
RNAcentral lists this transfer RNA (77 nucleotides) under Planctomycetota bacterium. Its description in RNAcentral is "Planctomycetes bacterium tRNA-Arg". It matches the Rfam family "tRNA". Rfam says of the family: Transfer RNA (tRNA) molecules are approximately 80 nucleotides in length. Their secondary structure includes four short double-helical elements and three loops (D, anti-codon, and T loops). The record is from RNAcentral. Lineage: Bacteria; Pseudomonadati; Planctomycetota.